This is a non-coding RNA of Vicugna pacos (alpaca), 1004 nucleotides long. The record is from RefSeq and is a predicted model, not a curated record. Lineage: Eukaryota; Metazoa; Chordata; Mammalia; Artiodactyla; Camelidae.
AACAGACUCCAAACCCCAGCAGCUAGCAGGUUAGAGCUGCUCCCACAUCUCCCACUCUGAUCACAGCCAGAAGUGGGGUGACUAAGUGCACAGGAGAAGAAAAUCAGUGUGGCUGGGGGACUACGGAGGCAGUGGCUGGAAGAUCAAGCCAAACUGGGGCGGGUUCAAUGGAGGCUACUGAGGUUUAAGAAACUGAAGAUGUUCCACAAACAGGAGAUGAAAACUCAGGAAGAGCCGUAACGGCCACCGUUAAACAUCUCGAGGACUUCACGUGAGGAAAGAAGAACUAAAACAGUUGUGGCGGCUCCAGGGAGUAGCACUGGCCCAGGAGAAACAAGAGGUUCGAGCUCAGCACCAGCAGAGACCACAAGAUGCUCAUGGCUGCAGCCUUUUCUGAAGCAGAGCAAGGGCCAGUAGAGCCCCUGGCCAAUGAAACCUGAGGGGCAGCCUGCUGACGGCGGGGGGGGGGGGUCUUACAGAAAACUUCUUCCUUCCGGUGAAAAGAGUGUCUCUUCCUGCCUAAGACUGGGUCGUGUGAGUACGUGAUGCUGUAGACAGAGCUGCUCCCUUGCAUGUCAAGGCAGACAAGCUGCCCCAGGGCUACUGAAUUAGCCAUUUCAGAACCUUUCUGCCAGACUUCUUGUUAUGCAAAAAAAGUAAGUAGCUUUUAAGCUGUGAAUACUGUUAGCUGCAGCUGAUACAGGUCAAGGCUCAGAGGUGAACAAAGACUGAAUGUGCAGCUUCAGAGAAAGGUCCUGACAAAGGCUUGGCAGAAUACUGUAAAGCAGAGCCAGGUACCAGGAAAUGUUUCUAUCCCAAGGUUUGACAGACUGUUUUACCACUGUACCUUCUCAUGAUUUUAUUCAGCCUCACCAAAAAAAAUUUCAGUACGGAAAAAAGGAACACAUGAUAUAAAAUGCUGUGUAUCUAGGAAGAAGAUGAAGAAUAGAAGAAGGCAAAGGUAAUGGAUGUUAUAAGUAAAGAGCCCUGGUUUAAAAAAAAAA